RNAcentral lists this ribosomal RNA (894 nucleotides) under uncultured Streptococcus sp. Its description in RNAcentral is "bacterial SSU rRNA". It matches the Rfam family "Bacterial small subunit ribosomal RNA", at positions 15 to 884 of the family's 1533-position model. The record is from RNAcentral. Lineage: Bacteria; Bacillati; Bacillota; Bacilli; Lactobacillales; Streptococcaceae.
GAUCCUGGCUCAGGACGAACGCUGGCGGCGUGCCUAAUACAUGCAAGUAGAACGCACAGGAUGCACCGUAGUUUACUACACCGUAUUCUGUGAGUUGCGAACGGGUGAGUAACGCGUAGGUAACCUGCCUGGUAGCGGGGGAUAACUAUUGGAAACGAUAGCUAAUACCGCAUAAGAACAUUUACUGCAUGGUAGAUGUUUAAAAGGUGCAAAAGCAUCACUACCAGAUGGACCUGCGUUGUAUUAGCUAGUUGGUGAGGUAACGGCUCACCAAGGCAACGAUACAUAGCCGACCUGAGAGGGUGAUCGGCCACACUGGGACUGAGACACGGCCCAGACUCCUACGGGAGGCAGCAGUAGGGAAUCUUCGGCAAUGGGGGGAACCCUGACCGAGCAACGCCGCGUGAGUGAAGAAGGUUUUCGGAUCGUAACGCUCUGUUGUUAAGGAAGAACGUGUGUGAGAGUGGAAAGUUCACACAGUGACGGUACUUAACCAGAAAGGGACGGCUAACUACGUGCCAGCAGCCGCGGUAAUACGUAGGUCCCGAGCGUUGUCCGGAUUUAUUGGGCGUAAAGCGAGCGCAGGCGGUUAGAUAAGUCUGAAGUGAAAGGCAGUGGCUCAACCAUUGUAGGCUUUGGAAACUGUUUAACUUGAGUGCAGAAGGGGAGAGUGGAAUUCCAUGUGUAGCGGUGAAAUGCGUAGAUAUAUGGAGGAACACCGGUGGCGAAAGCGGCUCUCUGGUCUGUAACUGACGCUGAGGCUCGAAAGCGUGGGGAGCGAACAGGAUUAGAUACCCUGGUAGUCCACGCCGUAAACGAUGAGUGCUAGGUGUUAGGUCCUUUCCGGGACUUAGUGCCGCAGCUAACGCAUUAAGCACUCCGCCUGGGAGUACG